This 26-nucleotide non-coding RNA is filed under the name Homo sapiens (human). Lineage: Eukaryota; Metazoa; Chordata; Mammalia; Primates; Hominidae. The record is from RNAcentral.
GCAAGUAAGGGUUCACAUAUGGAAGC